Molecule: ribosomal RNA, 253 nt
Filed under: uncultured bacterium
Lineage: Bacteria
Description: partial 16S ribosomal RNA
Rfam family: Bacterial small subunit ribosomal RNA
Source: RNAcentral
UACGUAGGGUGCAAGCGUUAAUCGGAAUUACUGGGCGUAAAGUGUGCGCAGGCGGCCGAGCAAGUCGAGUGUGAAAGCCCCGGGCUUAACUUGGGAAUUGCGCUCGAAACUACUUGGCUGGAGUGUGGCAGAGGAAGGUGGAAUUCCAGGUGUAGCGGUGAAAUGCGUAGAUAUCUGGAGGAACACCGGUGGCGAAGGCGGCAUCCUGGACCGAGAUUGACGCUGAGGCGCGAAAGCUAGGGGAGCAAACGGG